GGAGCUCAAUACCAUCUUAGUUCUUUUUCUGAAUCUUCUCGGUAAAUAUUAAUUUUCAUCUAGUUAACCGUUAGAUUAACCUGAAACUUUGAUAUAUAGUUUCUAAUAUAUAUUGAUUCAAUUUUAUUGCUUAGAUUAUUGAUUGGAUGUCUCUAUUUAGAUAAAUUAGUCUCACAUUUCUUAGGGAAUUCAACACCAC
RNAcentral lists this long non-coding RNA (199 nucleotides) under Vigna radiata. RNAcentral's name for it is "long non-coding RNA (VRAD_LNC010514)". The record is from RNAcentral. Lineage: Eukaryota; Viridiplantae; Streptophyta; Magnoliopsida; Fabales; Fabaceae.